CCGAGAGCUUCUCUCUCUACCUCUCGCCGGAAAUCGCCCCACCACCGGACGCCACGUCGCCGCCGGCCGCCGCCGUCGCCGGAACCCCAUCCUUUACCAAAAUUUCCAGAUUUUCUUCUCUUCCUUCCCUCUUUCCAUUUCUCUAACCAAAAUCAAGAAAUUUGGCCAUCCAACCCUCCAAAAACCUUAGAACCCGAAGCUAAAUUGGGGCUUUUUGUGAUUUCUUCUUUCCAAGUUCAAAUCAAGAGGCUAGGCUAUGGGUUUGGCAAGGAUUUGUGGUGAAGAAGGCCAAGGAGGAAGCUUAGGCCGUGAGUUUUGAAGAAGAAAGGGAAACACGAUCGUUAAGGAAGCUUAAGCGGAAAGCACCAGAGUGUGGAAUACGCCGGCAUUUCCAGACUUGCAUGUUGAGAUACUACAACCCUUGUAUGUGUGUACUUGUGACCUGAAAGUGAAUGGGACCUAGACGCGUAGAUUCCUAGGGAUUCCACGGUGUCGAUAACCGUGAACCUCCGGAGGGGGCCGUGCUCCUAUGUUUGUCGAGGAAGAGUGAGUACAGACAGUGAACCAGUCAUAGGAGACUCAGGGCCAGGAAAUGGACACUUUCGCUACUUGUAGUCGGAAGUACUACAGAAUAGUUGGCCAGUUCUCGAAGGAUGACGAACCAGGUCGGUCACCGAUUUGAUUUAUAUUGGCCGGCAGUGUGCAGGUUUCGAGCAUGUGGUCGGCAAGCGUACAGGGGAGGCACAUGGCCCGGCUUGGCGCAUUUCUCUUUAGUUUUAUCAAAAUGAAGGUUUUGGUCCCUUAUCGGAUUUUGAACUU
Long non-coding RNA from Rosa rugosa (rugosa rose), 819 nucleotides. RefSeq lists it as uncharacterized. The record is from RefSeq and is a predicted model, not a curated record. The transcript has 6 exons. NCBI's taxonomy places the organism in Eukaryota, Viridiplantae, Streptophyta, Magnoliopsida, Rosales, Rosaceae.